AUGGGCAGAGACACCUUCCACUGUCCCAGGCUGCUCCAAGCCCUGUCCAAGCUAGCCUUGGACACUUCCAGGGAUCCAGAGGCAGCCACAGCUGCUCUGGGCACCCUGUGCCAGGGCCUGCCCCCCCUCCCAGGGAAGGAUUCCUUUCCAAUAUCCCAUCCAUCCGUGCCUUCUGGCAGUGGGAAGCCAUUCCCCCUUUAUCCUAAAUCCCCCUCCAGUUCUCUUGGAGCCCCACUGGAAGGGGCUCUUAGGCCAAGCCAAGCUGGACACCCCAGCUCUCCGAGCCCUCCGGAGCAGCGUUCCCCAGCCCUCGGAGGCUCCUCCGGCCGCGCUCCCGGCUGGAGGAUGCUCAGCCCCGCUCCGCUCCCGGGCACCUCCGCUGGCUCCAUCCCGCAGGGACGGUGCCCGAGUGCCCUCCCAGGGGAUGCCAUGCUCGGGCUCUUCCCGGAGCCUUCCGUGGGCACCGUGCCCGGCUCCCCACGCCUCCUCCGGGGCCACCACUCGUCUCUCCAGCCCGGGGCCACCCCGUGCCCGAGCCUGUCCCCGCUGUCCCGGGCCCGGCGCCGGGGCGGGAGGCGGUGCCGGUGCCGCUCGGGGCGGUGCGGGGCGGCCCGGGAAGGGGCGGGGGCGGCGGGAUGGGCUGGGCUGGGCUGGGCUCGGCACGGCUCGGCUCGGCACGGCGGGGUUCGGCACGGCACGGCUCGGCUCGGCUCGGCACGCAGCGCGCUCCCGCAGCCGCAGGUAGGUGCGUGCCCCGCACCGCGCUCCCGCUCGGCUCAGCCCGGCUCGGCUCAGCCCGGUUCCGCUCCCUUCGGCUCGGCUCGGCUCGCUGUGGCUCAGCCCGGCCCGGCUCGGCUCGCCCCCGCAGGGCCGUGCCGCGGGUGGGCCCGGCGCUGCCGCUUGUUGCGCUCGGGGGCGAGUUGGAGCCGGAGCGGUGCGAGCGGCCCCGGCUGCAGGAAUGCGAGUCAUUUCCUCCGCCCGCCCGCCUGCCCGCCCGCGGGAGCUGCGGCUCCGCCGGAACCCCCCCACGGCCCCCGACGGCCGCCACACCGCCGCGACACCGCCGCGACACCGACACGGCCGCCCCGAGCCGCGCCAGGGGCGCGCUCGCCCGCGGGACCCCGCGCCCCUGGGCACCCACAGCUGCGGGACCCCUGGGUCACGCUUGUCCCCACAGCUGCGGGACCCCUGGGUCACACUCGUCCCCGCAUUUGCAGGAGCCCCGGUCCGUGGGUACCCACAUCUACGGGACCCCGUGCCCCUGAGUACCCACAUCUGCGGACCUGUGGCCCCUGGGUCACACUCGUCCCCACAUCUGUGAGAGCCUUGGCCCCUGGGUCCCAACCGCCCACGGAUCUCCUUGCCCCUGGGUCACACUCGCCCACGGGUCUUGCUCACCUGUGGUCUCACUCACCCACAGGUCUCACUCACCCUUGGGACCCUUUUCCCUGGGUGGCACUCACCCACAGGUCCCCUCACCCAUGGGACCCCUUGCUUUCACCCACAGGUCCCCUCACCCACAGGACCCCUUGCUUUCACCCACAGGUCCUCCUACCUGUGGGUCACCGUCACCCACGGCUUCCCUCAUUCCUGGUUCACAGUCACCCAUGGGACUGUUUGUCCCUGGGUUAUGCUCACUCAUGGGUCACUUCACCCCUUGCUCGUGGGUGA
This 1671-nucleotide long non-coding RNA is filed under the name Junco hyemalis (dark-eyed junco). Its description in RNAcentral is "lncRNA (ENSJHYG00000004052.1)". Lineage: Eukaryota; Metazoa; Chordata; Aves; Passeriformes; Passerellidae. The record is from RNAcentral.